RNAcentral lists this ribosomal RNA (457 nucleotides) under uncultured bacterium. RNAcentral describes it as "bacterial SSU rRNA". It matches the Rfam family "Bacterial small subunit ribosomal RNA", at positions 340 to 786 of the family's 1533-position model. The record is from RNAcentral.
UACGGAAGGCAGCAGUGGGGAAUAUUGCACAAUGGGCGAAAGCCUGAUGCAGCUAUGCCGCGUGUAUGAAGAAGGCCUUAGGGUUGUAAAGUACUUUCAUCGGGGAGGAAAAAACAAAACUAAUAAUUUUAUUUCUUGACGUUACCCGAAAAAGAAGCACCGGCUAACUCCGUGCCAGCAGCCGCGGUAAUACGGAGGGUGCUAGCGUUAAUCAGAAUUACUGGGCGUAAAGAGCACGUAGGUGGUUUUUUUAAAGUCAGAUGUGAAAUCCCUGGGCUUAACCUGGAACUGCAUUUUGAAACUGAAAUACUAGAGUAUCGUAGAGGGAGGUAGAAUUCUAGGUGUAGCGGUGAAAUGCGUAGAUAUCUGGAGGAAUACCUGUGGCGAAAGCGGCCUCCUAAACGAAUACUGACACUGAGGUGCGAAAGCGUGGGGAGCGAAACAGGGAUUAGAUACC